CCCAGGAACCAGCAGAUCCGCUGUGCACUUCCUUGCCGUGCUGGGCGUGGCCUUUGCCCUAACAUGAAGCCUUUUCACAUGGGGACUCAGUGCUGUAAUCAAAGGUGUUGAGACACUGAAGGAUGAUAUUUACCAGCAACCAGUGUUUUUUAGGGGGGGGGACACUGGUUACCAUGGAAACAUUGUCAGCCUCAAGUGACUGUCAUGAGGUGAAAAAAUACUCUUAAAAUAAAUGAAACCAGAAAAGGCGUAUUUAUAAAUCUCUUUCUAACCACCUAUCUGUUCGAAGGGUAGAGUGUGUUUUUUUAAGCUAUAGAUAUUCCAAAAAAUGGAGGAACUUUUAAGGCAGAGUUUUUCUUCAUUACAAAGACUGAGCCAAGUGGGAUAGGAUGUAUAGGCCUGUAAUCCCAGCUCAGGAAGCUGAGGACAGGAUGUCAAGACCUGCCUGGGCUACAUGGGGAGACAGGCAGACCUCAUUUCAAAAACACCAAAAAUAGAUAAUUUUAAGGACCACCACAUGACUUGCUUCUCUCCACCCCCUUCUGAGGACUGAACCUAUGGGCUUGCCCAGGCUAGGCAAGCAAACUCUUCCGCUGUGAGCUAUACCAUUGGACUUUACUCAGCUAUAGCUUUGAAAUUGUGUACACUUUGGGGAGUCAAAUACCUUACUCAAAACUAAUAGAAGGGUACUUUGGGAGGGGGAACUAAAAGAUUUUAUGUCUGAGUUGUGCAAAUUACUUCUGGACAAAUCAAUAAGCCAUGGGAAAAGGAUUUCAGUCACAGAGAUGAAGAACACUUGGGCACAGAACUUGCGUUGCUCCAAGGGUGCUCCAGUAUUGUUCACUUCCUUGCAAACAGAACCACAGUUUUAUUGCAGCAUUGAUUUGCCCAGAUGCACUCAAUUUCAUGCCCUCUCUUUUGGCUAGAGGUAGACCUGCGAGAUAGCCCUGUCCAAAAAAGACACUGAAGUUCCUGAAAAGGAGAAUAUUGGAAACAGUUCUGCAUACUCCCACAGUUCCGUGUAACUUGUGACCAGAGAUACGGAUCACUUGUCAUGUGACCAUCUUUCCAAGGGUGUGUGGGUGAUACACAGCCUUGGAAAAGUAGAUUUGCUAUGUCUCUAAAGCAAGAGGGGGUCUUGCUUGGAACCUGGAAGACAGAGCAAAGGAUAGGCCUGUCUUCGGCCUCUUGGGUGAGAUGUGGGGUCCAUUAGCUCGGGGUUCAUGUCUUCUGAAGUAGCCACUGACUAGGCAAGCAUCCCUGCAGGCUCAGCUGCAGCUCCUGUGAUUGCAGGCCUUGAGAGACUGCCACAGACAUGCUGGUGUGUGUGUGUGCGUGUGUGUGCUGUGUAUGUAUGUGUGUGCUAUGUGAUAUAUAUAUAUAUAUAUAUAUAUAUAUAUAUAUAUAUUAUGUAUGUCGUGUGUAUGUGUUGUGUGUGUGGUGUGUAUGAGAAAGAUGAUUGUGUAGGUAUAAUGUAUGUGUGUUGUAUAUGUUGUAUGUGUUUAUGUUGUAUCUCUCUGUGUGUGUGGUGUAUAUGUGUGAGCAUCAGGUAUCUUCCUUUAUCAUUCUCUGCCUCAUUCCUUUUUUAUUCCAGUGAGUUCUAACCAUCCUCCUGCCACAGCCUCCCUUAUGCUGGGGUCAUGGCUGUAGAUACCCAGCUUCUCUGGUCCUGUUGCCUUGCAGCAAGCAGUUGUAACCCCUGAGCCAUCACUCCAGCACCCACACACACACACACACACACACACACACACACACACACACACACGCACGCACGCACGCACGCACGCACGCACACACACACACACACAGGCACACACACACAGAGUUAUUAGAUUCAGAGGGGUAUAAAGUAGAGUGAUAUUUCCAAGUGCUUAGGAAUAAGAAGAAAGUGAUUAUUGCUUGUUGGUACAGUUUCUGUGCAGAUAAAGUUCUAGAAUCAUGAUGGUUGUGAGACACCAGAAAUGUGUUCCAUGUCAAUGAAUCGUGAAUGAGUGAAAUUGCACAUGGUGGUGCACAGCCUUACUCUCCGGUCUUGGUGGGCAAAUGCAAGCAGAGCUCUGUGUGGGUUCCAAACCAUCUUGCUCUACGUAACAAAUUCUAGGCCAGCCUAGAAACCUCUCUAAAAACAACAAAAGAAUGGUUCAAAUAAUAACAUAUAUUAAGUUACAUAUAUUUAUCACAAAAAAUCUGGAGCUGGGGUGAUAGCUCAAAGUGUUUGCUGUGUAUGCAUAAGGACCUGAGUUUGGUCCCCCAGACCCACAUUUAAAUUAAAAACAACAGCAACAAAGGUAGUGUAUGCUUGUAACUCCAACCUGGAAGGCAGACACAGGAGGAUUCCUGGGGCUCAUGGACCACUCAUCUAAAGCUUCUGCCAGAGAGAAACCUUGUCUGAGAGAACAAGAUUUUUUGGUUUCUGAGGAACAACAUCCAAGAUUGACCUCUGGCUUUCACAUGUAUGCUCUUACGUGUGCACUACACAAACCUUCUUCACUACCACCCCCCCCACACACACACACACACGUGCGUGAAGUCAGUAAAACCCAAAGAGGUAGGUUUUGUUUAUAUGAGGAGGGAAAUGAAACAUUUUUAAGUCUUUAUUUAUGAGUUUAUUUUAGGGUAUUCUGGAUUUGCUGCACACCUGCUGCUGGUGGAGCAGAGCAACCAAGACACAUGGAUCAAGGGUGCUCUUAGGCGAGGCUCGCACAAUCCUCAGUGGCAUCUACCUCUCCUGGGGCUUUUCUUAUCUAUCUGUUUUAUUUCAAUUCUUAAGCUCUUGGGAGUAACAGAGCAUCCCCAGCCCCUGAGUGUGUGUUAAGUCAGAAUUUGUGGGUGGAAAUAAUAUGGUAGGGUUCCUUCCAUUCCUAUCGUCUGUUUAUUUUCCUUUCCUGUGUAUUUCAUACCGUGGUGUGGAGAUUUCUGAUUCAGCAGUUAGAAUAGUCUCUGUGUUAGUUAUCACUUCCUCGUGACCCACUUUAGACCCAAUUACUCAUUCUGGCGUUUGGAGUUCAAGUUUCAAAAGAUUAUUUUCUGCAACUGAAUUAUGUGUCUGAGGGAGAAAAGGGAUGGAGAAAACAGUGAGAGAGUUCCUGCUCCCUCUCAUUCUCCUGCAAAUGCUCUCUCACUCUUCCCUUUCCAGUCACCCCACAACUGUCACUCCACAUGUCCUGACUCUCACUUCCCUCCUAGGAAAUUCCUCCACAUAUCACCAGGUGCUCAGCUGGGGACACAGUGAGCCAGGUCCCUGCUCCUGGGAGGCUACACCAGUGUGUUUUUUUCUCCUACUGUGAAGACCAACAAGAGUCUGGAACAGGGAUUCCAAUUCAGUGGGCCAGCACUUGUAGACGCUCCCCUAGAUAAUUCUGAAUUGGACCCUUGGGCCACGUUUUUGAGCAACACUGUGCCUGGAGGAAAAGGAGUUGGACACUUCCAUGCUGCACUGAAGAAACCCCAAUGCACUGAAGGAAACCAGAAAAGGGACAGAUUGAAGUGGUCUGAGAGACGAGGGCUGUCUGUCCUGGACCUGGUUAUUUCUCCGGUGGGAGAGCUGCCCUCCUUUGUGACUUUAUAGGUAAGAGUUGGGAGAGUUAGAAGAUGGGUGUCUGGAGUUGGUGCCAUGUCCUCUAUACCCUUGACCACUUUUUCUGCAAGUGUUAUGGAAUCCUUUGUUGGCUCUCUCGGUUUAGUCAGGACUCAGUGAUUUGCCCAGGCAGACCCCACCUUAGCUCUGACUGUGUCUCCAUUAGUGCCCCAGAGAAAACUCUGACCCUUGACUCCAGCAUCUCCACGACAGAUGUGAACUUUUGUGCUUUCUCCAUACCACAUGGAAGUGGAGGGGAGGGGGGGUCAGAGAAGCCAAACCCCAGACCUCUACCCAACCACACCUUUUUUGUUACUAAAGCUCGAAUCAGGCUAUGAGAGGAAUUCUCCUUUCCAAUUUCAGAUAUGAAGCAGAAAUCCCAGGUCUGGUAUUCAUAUCAAUCUUUCUGAGGAACGGAUUGGCCGUCUUUUAUCCUGCCCUUCCACCCCUGCACAGGGACUCUAAGAAGGCCACAAUUACUGCACCUCCCUCCAUUUGGCUGUCAGCCUUCCCACCUGGAAGCAGACGACACUUCCUGUCCUGACCAGGCUGGCCUCCAGUGUGCUUUGAGCAACAGAAUGAUGUUGAAAGUGCAACUUACAAGAGAUGACGUUCCGGUACUCCUGGGGCCACACAUGGAGUGCACUGCCACUUUUUCUCUCACAGGAAAGAAAUCCAACCACACAGAGAUCGCCAAGCUACGCCAAAGCCCAAAUUAUCCACACAGAAGCUCCAUGAAGAAGACAGUGAGGCCCAGAGAAUUGGCUAAAGGCACGAAAUAUUCAAGUAAAGAAGGUUUUUGUUUUGCUUUGUUUUGUUUUGAGUGUUCAAACCCCAAAUUACGCUCUAUAACCAGAACCACCCAGCUGCACUCAGCUCAGACUGUAGAAUUAUGGGAAAUGAUAAAAUGGAGCCUCACACCCACAUCCCAGACCGGAAGAAACAACAAGUGUCAGCAUCCCUUCAUCUCACCAACCAGAGCUAUGCCACAAGGACACCCACAGCUAAGGACAGCAAACACCUUGGAGAAUCUCAACUUUGACCCGGAAGUACUCACUACCUGGAACUGUCUGCCUGAGGGUACCAGGGAGAAAACAUGGGUUGUGACUAGUGUUCUCCUCAUUCUCCACCUAUAAAAAGGGGUUAGAACUUACCUUGAUGACUUGUUGAAUUUCAGAGAGACUAUGGGCAAACAUCAUAGUACCCAAGGCAUAACGGCACUCAGGAAAAGCCGUUAUAUCUUGAAUUUCCAGAAGUGGCCGUUAGCAGGGAGUUUUCCUGAAGGUGCUAAAAAUGUAUAAUAGAGACAUGGUUUGGACUCUUCAGUUCUUUUACAUUGAAUUCACUUCUUGGUUAAUAAAUCUUUUCUUGAUAGUCUAUUCAACCACUAAUAAAUCCAGCUGGAUUGUCAUUAUGACUCUUCACUUACAUGUGACACAUGAAAAAAC
Molecule: long non-coding RNA, 5025 nt
Filed under: Cricetulus griseus (Chinese hamster)
Lineage: Eukaryota; Metazoa; Chordata; Mammalia; Rodentia; Cricetidae
Description: lncRNA (ENSCGRG00015032946.1)
Source: RNAcentral